This 415-nucleotide long non-coding RNA is filed under the name Anas platyrhynchos platyrhynchos (common mallard). RNAcentral describes it as "lncRNA (ENSAPLG00000027511.1)". Lineage: Eukaryota; Metazoa; Chordata; Aves; Anseriformes; Anatidae. The record is from RNAcentral.
GGGGGGGGGGGCGCAGCCGCCGCCUCCUCCCGGUCCUCGCCGCCCUCGGGGCCGUCGCUCUCGGGGCCGCCGCCGCCGCCGCCGCUUUGCUGGGGGUGCUCCGGGGGGAGAGCCCCGCACACGGCCCCCCCCCGCAGGGUGCCACGGCCGCCCACCUGCUGCUGAGCACCGGCUCGCUGGCGGUGUCCUCCAGACCCUUGUGGCGCUACGAGGAAGGCAUCAGCGGAGUCUUCCUCAGCAGUGACCUGGAGGUGACGGCCGCGGGGCUGCAGGUGGCGGCGGGGGGGCUCUACCUCCUCUACGGGCAAUUCGCCCUCACCUGCAUAGCCGAAAAUUGCCCCCCCGGCAACGUCACCCUGCAGCUGCGCCGUGCCGGCUCCGUGCCCCCGCUGCUCUCCGUGCCGCUGGUGCUGCC